Molecule: small RNA, 148 nt
Filed under: Papio anubis (olive baboon)
Lineage: Eukaryota; Metazoa; Chordata; Mammalia; Primates; Cercopithecidae
Also listed under: 1 other name
Description: Metazoan signal recognition particle RNA (ENSPANG00000038203.1)
Source: Rfam by way of RNAcentral
GCUGGGCAUGGUGGUGCGUGCCUGUAAUCCCAGCUACUCAGGAGGCUGAGGCAGGAGAAUCGCUUGAACCCGGGCGGCAAAGGUUGCAGUGAGCCAAGAUCGUGCCACUGCACUCCAGCCUGGGUGACAGAGCGAGACUCCGUCUCAA